This 5928-nucleotide long non-coding RNA is filed under the name Marmota monax (woodchuck). Lineage: Eukaryota; Metazoa; Chordata; Mammalia; Rodentia; Sciuridae. The record is from RNAcentral.
GACUGGUGAAGAGUUUCCCUGGAAUCCUCUUACAACAUAUUUGCUGGUAUGAAAUUCUCAAAAAGUUUGUCUCUGAUGAGUAUCACAGAGAUUCACUGAAUUAUACAAGUGGCUUCUACCACUUCUGCAUUCUGUUGAGUGUGUUGAAUGGAUACAUGAGUCACAAAACUAAUCUCUUCAAUUCACUCUCUGAUUAAUGUUUCAAUCUUUCAAAGCACUAGCCUAACAUAAUAUAGUCAUAUCUUUGCUUUUCUCCCCAGAGCAUGCUUUCCUGAGAGUGGGUCUCCUAAUUUUAGCAUUUUUUUUUUCUAAUCUGGGUAAGCUGAGAAUUUCUCAAUUUAUCAGAUAUCAGUUCCUUUUUACUUAACAGGUCUUUUUCUUUGCUAUGAGCUUUGAGAAGAAAUCUGGCUGCACCUUUAAUACUUUGCUUGUAAAGCCCCUCAGCUAAAUCUACACUUUCAGGAUAUAAAACAUUUUGUGCAUAACUGAGUAACACAAUGGUGGGAGGCUCUCUGCUACUCUAUAGCAAGAAUUCUCUUUUCUCCAAUUGCCAAUAAUAAGAUUCUCAUUUUCUUUUGAGCCCUCACUGACAAAGCCUUCAAUAUUCAUAUUUCUACCAAUAGUGUUUUUAAGGCAAUCUAAGCUUUUCUGAAAAUCUAUCCUGCUUUUAAAAAUUCUUCCAGACUCUGUCUAUUGCCCAUUUCCAAAUCCAUGUCUACAUUUAUAUGUAUUUUUUAAAGUACUAUUCCACUUCUGGUACCAAGAUUUCUAUUAGUUUUCUUAUUACUGUAACAAAUUACCACAAGUUUAGUGGAUUAAAACAACACAGACUUGUUGUUUUGUAGCUCUGAACUCUAGGUAUAUAAGAAGGUUCUCAUUAAACUAAAAUCAAUGUAUCUGCAAGAUAGUGUUCCUCUCUGUAAGCUCUUGGAGGGGAAAUGUUAACUUUUCUAGCUCCUAGAGGCUGCCCAAAUUUUUUGGCUUGUGGUCCCUUUUAAUCAUUAAACCCAGCAAUGGCUAGUCAUAUCUUUCUCAUAUUGUAUCACUGUGACUGUCCCUCCUUGUUAUAUAUUGGUCCAUCUGGAUAACUUAGCAUAAUCUCUCUAUUUUAAGGUUAGUUAUUAGCAACUUUAAUCCCUGCUUCCUUGUGAUGUAACAUAGUCACUUAUUCCAGGGAUUGGGAGAUGAUCAUCUUUGAGGGAGUCAUUAUUCUGUUUACCAAAAUGGCUUUCAUCCCCCUUGCUCCCAACCCAACUUUCAACCAAGUAUUAUAUAUGAUAUUUGACCACAAUGUGGCUUUAUUUUCUUUGAAUCCAGAAUGUUCUCACCUCCCUUUCAGUGAACACACCUUAAACAGUGAGUUUUAUCUUGUAGAGCAUUCCAUACUCUGACCAUGGGUGCUUGUUUUGUCACUGUAAGGCUCAGGUUGAACAUUUUGUUCAGAGGACAUCAUUCAUAAUAUCACGUGCAUUAUUUUUUGCACCCCAUCACCACUCUUGGUAAUGCUAGGUUGGGCUACAUGGUCCCAGUGAACUGCCAUAACUCUGUUCUAUAGAUACACUCUUUCUGAAGUUAAUAAAUUACUGAAAGAGUGACACUUUGGGAUGUGUGUAAAUAUCCAUUUUCCCCACAAUAGGUUACAUAGUGUUUGUAACUUCUAUUGAUGGUCCUUCCACAAAUCAAUUCGUUACUUCAGAAGAUGAAAAUGGUGACUUCCUAAUUCUACCACUAAAAAUCUCUAUUGUCUGGCUUUCUUCUGUGAAGGAGAAUAUAUGUGCCUCUUUUUUUCCCCCUUUCAAAUAUUGUUACAGUAUUAUGCAUUUAAUUAUCAUUGUGUUGUUGGUGCAUUAUAAUUGCUACCAGUAUAUUUUUUAAAUUCUCACUAUUCCCUGCAUAACCAGGUGAGAUCUUUCAGGUCAGUUCCUAUGCCCUAUUGGUAAAAUAUAAUUAGAUUAAAAACAUCCCUGCUUUCUGACACAACAAGCUCUUCAAGGUGGCCUUGAAAUUUAAUCUGGAAUUAGUUAUUUCUCCAAGAAUCCCUAGAUGAUUAUAGGUAAAAUUGUUAUUUUGACAGAGUUCUGGUCACUGUGAGAUAGUCAUUUCUACUAUGAGAGUUUCUCAAAUAUUCUUAACUUUCCUAUUGCUACCACUUAAGUUCUAGGAUAAAUCUGCCUGAUUAAAAAAAUCAGUCAAUGAAUAGAUUUAACAAUUGACAACAUCGUUAAUCUUAUCAUUAAAUAAACUUUAACUUGCUUUGAAUAUGUAAAGAAAGUCCAAUUUAAAUAACAGAGUUUUUUUUUAACAGUAGCAGGCGUUUUUUCUUCAUUCUCUAUAAAAUAUAAACAAAUCAGUAAAAUGUAAUGAAAUCUCAGAGAAAAUGUUAUAGCAAAUAAUUUGAUAGCAUUGUGAUGCCAGAGAGACUUGGCUUUGGCUUAGCUUCCAAGUCUGGCUGUAAAAGAAUUAGAAUUAUUUCAAUAGAUGUAUUCUUUAUGUACUUUUUUGAAAAGCACCAGAGUCCUUGACAAGCUAAGUCGUUAACUUAGACAGAAGGAAGUCCUGCAGAAUCCUGUACUGAGGGUGAGCAGUCAGGCUUAAGUAAUGAGAAGGCCACUAGAAGGAGCCUGCUGAAACAUGCACUACAAGCUACAUAUCAUUGUGAAGUUCCUUUAUAUUUUCCCUUUUGAGCUGCUGUUUCCCUAUCCUAUUCAUAUUUGAGCAAUUACUCCUUGCUAGAAAUGCUACCUUGAAAGAUGGUGAGAAACUAUUUAACUUCCCAUGAAAAUUACUAAUGCUUUCUCUCUCUCUCUCUCUCUCUCUCUCUCUCUCUCUCUCUCUCUCUCUCUCUCUCUCCAUAUGCAAAGGUGAUACUAUCAUCAUUAGGAGAAGUUGCAAGCUGAAAGUCAGUUUAUGGAAAAUGAAAAAAUUAUCCAACCAACUGGUGUUUAUUGGGUAUAUAAGACUGUACUGUAGAACACCAAUUUCUCUCUGUUCUUAAGGGAAUAUUUUUAAUGUUCAUGUUUAUAAAGAACUAUUUCCUACUAAUGUUGACAAAAAGAAAACAUAACCACCAAACAAAAACACAAACACAGUAUUCAGGAUGACUCUGUGUUAAAGAAAUUGAUUUAUGCUCAUUAUCAUACUGUAAAUACCAGAAGGAGCAUUUCAAUUAAGGAAAAUUAAAUUUUAUAAAGCAAAUUUGGACUGCAACCAGGAAAAAAUUGAGAAUGUAUUGGUACAACAUAUUUCUUAGAGAAAUGUCAUGCUUUUGGAAAGAACACUAUAGAAAGUCCAUUUAAUACCCAGUUGACUCUCAGGGCCAGAGGACUACAUAGAUCUAUUAAGUAAAGAGUUUUCAAAUUAUGGGACCUAUAUGUCUGUUUGUAUUUCUAUCUUCCUUCUCAAGGUUUGGCAUCCAGAAGAGAUUCAAUUAAUACUUUUGAAUGAAUAAAUGAAUGAAUGUAUAAAUGUAUUAAAUGAAGGCACAGAUAAUACAAAAAUAAUUUUCCAAACUCAACUAAUUAUGUUAGAAUCCAUAUUGCACAUUAGCAGAAACGGAAACCAUUCUUAAUUGUUUAGGCUUUUAUCUUCCCUUUAAAGCAGAACAAAGCAUGUCUUCAUUUUAAUAAUUAAUUUCACCAAUAUAAUAACUCACCUGCUUCAGUGAGUUUGAUGACACAGGAACAGCCCAGCUUUGACUUUGUGAAGAAGUAUAAAACUUUUCACUGAAAAGGAACUUCAAAUAUAUUGACUAUGGCCCUGAGAGGAGAGAAAACCUUUCCAUUAGAAAACAUUAUGUUUAAAUAUUAAGUAACUUGGUACUUUGGUUAGAUUGUUAAAUCUAUACCCAUGUUUUGAGAACAUAUGGCAGCCUCCUAAUACUAAAUUCCUCAGGGGAGCUAAAGAUGGAGGAUGGACCUGAAUUAAGCAGCACUCUCUAGAGACUCAGCCCUAAUUAAUUAAAACAAUCAGUAAGCAUAUUGUGAGUGCUUCCAAAAUCAUCUUCUGGUGAUAUCUCAGCAUGCUUGGGGACCUUAGACAUGGAUGGACUUCUGCAGUUAAGGACAGACUCCUCUCCUGAUUCUGUAUUUACAUAGUGCGAAAAUAUGUGGGUGCAAUUAAUUUGAACUCUGGACAAACCAGUGUGGGCCAUAACUGUUGCAACAAGGACCUCUGGCAUUUGAUUUACAUGCACACCAUUAAUGCCUGGAUUCUGCUUAGUUUGAAAGGCCAGCAUCAGGCCUCUCUUGAAUAGGCACCGCAGCUUCAAAACUUUCACAAUCCUUUGGUAAUUGUAUUUGCAUUUCACUAUUAAUUCUGGAAUUAUUUUCUCAUUUGGAUAAAGAGCACUUUCUCUGUCUGUGGCAGAAAAAGCAGUAAGCAGAUGACUGAUGUCAGUCCUUCAAAUCUGCAAUGAGAUCUGGGCAAUGGUGUGCUGUGGAACAUUUUCUAAGUAAAAAACAGGAUAUCAUCAUGUGAACCACAUUACCAUCUUUAAACAUGACCAUUGCUUUCAGUUUCCAUUUCCUACAAGUGGGAAACACAUUGCCAAUGACAGGCUGACUCGAGAUAGCAUUUGCUUCUCUAUCAAGUACAGUCUUUGGAUCUUGCAAACUCUCAUAUCAGGUUUGAUCCAAAGGAGGAAGAAUGUUUUUGUUUAUCAUGUUUUUGUUUAUGCUGAAGCUGAGCCAGCAAAAGUAGUGAUUAAAUUAAAAACAUUUCUAAGCAAAGAGAAGGAGCAUUUCUCUUGUGAAGAAAUGGAUUAUAGAUUCAUCUCUGAUUGGAAAGGAGAGUGUUGACAGUGAACUGUAAAGUUUAAUCAGUUCAGAUCUUGACUUCUAAAAAUGGCAGAUUCAUGAAAAGGCUUUUAAAUUUUCUUUCCUUGUUUUUUCCCCCCUUUCUGUUAGCUUAUUCUGAGACUUCAUCCCUGGAUCUUAAGGACACAAAGACACAAUUAGAGAAAGCAGGGAAGUCUCCUGUCUGAGUGCAUUUAACUUAUGGUUCAAUUGGUCUCUACACCAUAUCCUCUCUUCAUAGCCUUGUGCAGCUAGAAGCUAUGUGAACUCAGGCUGGAUAGUCACAAGCCUUUAAGUAUUCAUCUAGAAGCCAGAUUCUGUUUUUAGAAGAACCAUGCUUACACCUUUAAUUUCAUUUCUAUUUCACAUUACCCUCACAAUGUUAAUUGACUUGUUAAUGUAGGAGCCCUUGUGCAGUCCAAAUAAUGUCUUUCAUCUUUCAGGUCUCAGCAUUAAGUAAUCAGUAUCUCUUCUGUAACUGUUGAUUGAACUUAUUUGUUUACUUUUCUAUAGCCUUUUUUUUUUUACAAGUAGAAGGUUAAAUGUCAUAGACUAAGGUGGCAAAAACCCCUGCAAGAUGGCCCCAGUACCCCUGCCUCCUCCACAGUGCAUAGUCCUCUCUCACACUGUACCAGGGCUACCCCACCUGACUACUGGAAUUCAGCAGUGGUGAUGAUACUUCUAAGAUUAGAUUAGAAGAUGUGAUGGUCUGACUUGGGCUUGCCCUCCUCUCCUCCUUGUCCUUUCCCUCUCAUUAUGUGAACUGUGGAAACCCAGCUGCCAUGUGCUGAAUAGUCAUCGUGAUGUCUCACAUGUCAAGGAGCUGAAGCCUCCUGCUGUCAGCCAUGUGAGUCAGCUUGAAAAUCAACUCUACUAUCUUUUAAGUGUCUGCAGCCUUAGGAGAGACUCUGACAAAAGGAUUCAGUUAAGCUGCUUCUGGGUUCUUACUCUUAGACACUCUGUGAAGUAACAAAUGGGUUAAGUUUGGGGGCAAUAUGAUGGACAAAAAUCCACAGCUAAUAAAGGAAAGAUUUAUGUUUGAUUAUCUACUCUAACUCUCAACACACCUUGCUUUCGUAUUAUAUAUACAUAUAAAUGGAUUGAAUAAAUAUUUGCUGAAUAAACAAAUGAACCC